ACGGGUGAGUAAUACAUCGGAACGUAUCCUGGAGUGGGGGAUAGCCCGGCGAAAGCCGGAUUAAUACCGCAUACGCUCUGAGGAGGAAAGCGGGGGACCUUCGGGCCUCGCGCUCAAGGGGCGGCCGAUGGCGGAUUAGGUAGUUGGUGGGGUAAAGGCCUACCAAGCCGACGAUCCGUAGCUGGUCUGAGAGGACGACCAGCCACACUGGGACUGAGACACGGCCCAGACUCCUACGGGAGGCAGCAGUGGGGAAUUUUGGACAGUGGGGGCAACCCUGAUCCAGCAAUGCCGCGUGUGUGAAGAAGGCCUUCGGGUUGUAAAGCACUUUUGUCCGGAAAGAAAUCAUCGGGGCCAAUACCCCUGGUGGAUGACGGUACCGGAAGAAUAAGCACCGGCUAACUACGUGCCAGCAGCCGCGGUAAUACGUAGGGUGCGAGCGUUAAUCGGAAUUACUGGGCGUAAAGCGUGCGCAGGCGGUGCUGUAAGACCGAUGUGAAAUCCCCGGGCUUAACCUGGGAACUGCAUUGGUGACUGCAGCGCUGGAGUAUGGCAGAGGGGGGUGGAAUUCCACGU
This 576-nucleotide ribosomal RNA is filed under the name uncultured bacterium. RNAcentral's name for it is "bacterial SSU rRNA". It matches the Rfam family "Bacterial small subunit ribosomal RNA", at positions 102 to 674 of the family's 1533-position model. The record is from RNAcentral.